UUAAGCGACUAAGCGUACACGGUGGAUGCCUAGGCAGUCAGAGGCGAUGAAGGGCGUGCUAAUCUGCGAAAAGCGUCGGUAAGCUGAUAUGAAGCGUUAUAACCGACGAUACCCGAAUGGGGAAACCCAGUGCAAUACGUUGCACUAUCGUUAGAUGAAUACAUAGUCUAACGAGGCGAACCGGGGGAACUGAAACAUCUAAGUACCCCGAGGAAAAGAAAUCAACCGAGAUUCCCCCAGUAGCGGCGAGCGAACGGGGAGGAGCCCAGAGUCUGAAUCAGUUUGUGUGUUAGUGGAAGCGUCUGGAAAGUCGCACGGUACAGGGUGAUAGUCCCGUACACCAAAAUGCACAGGCUGUGAACUCGAUGAGUAGGGCGGGACACGUGACAUCCUGUCUGAAUAUGGGGGGACCAUCCUCCAAGGCUAAAUACUCCUGACUGACCGAUAGUGAACCAGUACCGUGAGGGAAAGGCGAAAAGAACCCCGGCGAGGGGAGUGAAAUAGAACCUGAAACCGUGUACGUACAAGCAGUGGGAGCACCUUCGUGGUGUGACUGCGUACCUUUUGUAUAAUGGGUCAGCGACUUAUAUUUUGUAGCUAAGGUUAACCGAAUAGGGGAGCCGUAGGGAAACCGAGUCUUAACUGGGCGUCUAGUUGCAAGGUAUAGACCCGAAACCCGGUGAUCUAGCCAUGGGCAGGUUGAAGGUUGGGUAACACUAACUGGAGGACCGAACCGACUAAUGUUGAAAAAUUAGCGGAUGACUUGUGGCUGGGGGUGAAAGGCCAAUCAAACCGGGAGAUAGCUGGUUCUCCCCGAAAGCUAUUUAGGUAGCGCCUCGUGAACUCAUCUUCGGGGGUAGAGCACUGUUUCGGCUAGGGGGCCAUCCCGGCUUACCAAACCGAUGCAAACUCCGAAUACCGAAGAAUGUUAUCACGGGAGACACACGGCGGGUGCUAACGUCCGUCGUGAAGAGGGAAACAACCCAGACCGCCAGCUAAGGUCCCAAAGUCAUGGUUAAGUGGGAAACGAUGUGGGAAGGCACAGACAGCCAGGAUGUUGGCUUAGAAGCAGCCAUCAUUUAAAGAAAGCGUAAUAGCUCACUGGUCGAGUCGGCCUGCGCGGAAGAUGUAACGGGGCUAAACCAUGCACCGAAGCUGCGGCAGCGACACUUAGGUGUUGUUGGGUAGGGGAGCGUUCUGUAAGCCGUUGAAGGUGACCUGUGAGGGUUGCUGGAGGUAUCAGAAGUGCGAAUGCUGACAUAAGUAACGAUAAUGCGGGUGAAAAACCCGCACGCCGGAAGACCAAGGGUUCCUGUCCAACGUUAAUCGGGGCAGGGUGAGUCGACCCCUAAGGCGAGGCUGAAAAGCGUAGUCGAUGGGAAACAGGUUAAUAUUCCUGUACUUGGUGUUACUGCGAAGGGGGGACGGAGAAGGCUAGGCUGGCCGGGCGACGGUUGUCCCGGUUUAAGCGUGUAGGGGGAGUGACCAGGUAAAUCCGGUUGCUUAUCAACCCUGAGGCGUGAUGACGAUGCACCACGGUGCAGAAGCAGUUGAUGCCAUGCUUCCAGGAAAAGCCUCUAAGCAUCAGGUAACAUUAAAUCGUACCCCAAACCGACACAGGUGGUCAGGUAGAGAAUACUCAGGCGCUUGAGAGAACUCGGGUGAAGGAACUAGGCAAAAUGGUGCCGUAACUUCGGGAGAAGGCACGCUGGCGUUAGGUGAAAGGACUAGCUCCUGGAGCUGAAGCCAGUCGCAGAUACCAGCUGGCUGCAACUGUUUAAUAAAAACACAGCACUGUGCAAACACGAAAGUGGACGUAUACGGUGUGACGCCUGCCCGGUGCUGGAAGGUUAAUUGAUGGGGUCAGCCGCAAGGCGAAGCUCUUGAUCGAAGCCCCAGUAAACGGCGGCCGUAACUAUAACGGUCCUAAGGUAGCGAAAUUCCUUGUCGGGUAAGUUCCGACCUGCACGAAUGGCGUAAUGAUGGCCAGGCUGUCUCCACCCGAGACUCAGUGAAAUUGAACUCGCUGUGAAGAUGCAGUGUACCCGCGGCAAGACGGAAAGACCCCGUGAACCUUUACUAUAGCUUGACACUGAACAUUGAGCCUUGAUGUGUAGGAUAGGUGGGAGGCCUUGAAGUGUGGACGCCAGUCUGCAUGGAGCCAACCUUGAAAUACCACCCUUUAAUGUUUGAUGUUCUAACUCGGCCCCAUGAUCUGGGGUGAGGACAGUGUCUGGUGGGUAGUUUGACUGGGGCGGUCUCCUCCCAAAGAGUAACGGAGGAGCACGAAGGUUAGCUAAUCACGGUCGGACAUCGUGAGGUUAGUGCAAAGGCAUAAGCUAGCUUGACUGCGAGAGUGACGGCUCGAGCAGGUACGAAAGUAGGUCUUAGUGAUCCGGUGGUUCUGAAUGGAAGGGCCAUCGCUCAACGGAUAAAAGGUACUCCGGGGAUAACAGGCUGAUACCGCCCAAGAGUUCAUAUCGACGGCGGUGUUUGGCACCUCGAUGUCGGCUCAUCACAUCCUGGGGCUGAAGUAGGUCCCAAGGGUAUGGCUGUUCGCCAUUUAAAGUGGUACGCGAGCUGGGUUUAGAACGUCGUGAGACAGUUCGGUCCCUAUCUGCCGUGGGCGUUGGAAGAUUGAGAGGGGCUGCUCCUAGUACGAGAGGACCGGAGUGGACGAAUCACUGGUGUUCGGGUUGUCAUGCCAAUGGCAUUGCCCGGUAGCUAAAUUCGGAAGAGAUAACCGCUGAAAGCAUCUAAGCGGGAAACUUGCCUCGAGAUGAGUCUUCCCUGGGGCUUAAAGCCCCCUGAAGGAACGUUAAAGACUAUGACGUUGAUAGGCUGGGUGUGUAAGUGCAGCGAUGUAUUGAGCUAACCAGUACUAAUGAUCCGUGAGGCUUAACCUU
Molecule: ribosomal RNA, 2906 nt
Filed under: Yersinia pestis Pestoides F
Lineage: Bacteria; Pseudomonadati; Pseudomonadota; Gammaproteobacteria; Enterobacterales; Yersiniaceae
Description: bacterial LSU rRNA
Rfam family: Bacterial large subunit ribosomal RNA
Source: RNAcentral